This 450-nucleotide ribosomal RNA is filed under the name uncultured bacterium. Its description in RNAcentral is "partial 16S ribosomal RNA". It matches the Rfam family "Bacterial small subunit ribosomal RNA", at positions 354 to 796 of the family's 1533-position model. The record is from RNAcentral.
GUGGGGAAUAUUGGACAAUGGGCGAAAGCCUGAUCCAGCCACGCCGCGUGUGUGAAGAAGGUCUUCGGAUUGUAAAGCACUUUAAGUUGGGAGGAAGGGCAGUAAGUUAAUACCUUGCUGUUUUGACGUUACCGACAGAAUAAGCACCGGCUAACUUCGUGCCAGCAGCCGCGGUAAUACGAAGGGUGCAAGCGUUAAUCGGAAUUACUGGGCGUAAAGCGCGCGUAGGUGGUUUUGUAAGUUGGAGGUGAAAUCCCCGGGCUCAACCUGGGAACUGCCUCCAAAACUGCAUGACUAGAGUACGGUAGAGGGUAGUGGAAUUUCCUGUGUAGCGGUGAAAUGCGUAGAUAUAGGAAGGAACACCAGUGGCGAAGGCGACUACCUGGACUGAUACUGACACUGAGGUGCGAAAGCGUGGGGAGCAAACAGGAUUAGAUACCCGGGUAGUCC